AGGACGAACGCUGGCGGCGUGCUUAACACAUGCAAGUGGAGCGACGAACCAGGGCUUGCCCUGGGGCAGAGCCGCGAACGGGUGAGUAACACGUGGGUUACCUGCCUCAAUGACCGGGACAACCCGAGGAAACUCGGGCUAAUACCGGAUGUGCCCGCAAGGGGAAAGGAAGCUUCGGCCUCCGCAUUGAGAUGGGCCCGCGGCCCAUUAGCUUGUUGGUGAGGUAACGGCUCACCAAGGCUUCGAUGGGUAGCUGGUCUGAGAGGACGAUCAGCCACACUGGGACUGAGACACGGCCCAGACUCCUACGGGAGGCAGCAGUGGGGAAUCUUGCGCAAUGCGCGAAAGCGUGACGCAGCAACGCCGCGUGGGGGAAGAAGGCUUUCGGGUUGUAAACCCCUUUCAGUUGGGACGAAGCUUCGGCGGUUAAUAGCUGUCUGGAGUGACGGUACCUUCACAAGAAGCACCGGCUAACUACGUGCCAGCAGCCGCGGU
Molecule: ribosomal RNA, 495 nt
Filed under: uncultured bacterium
Lineage: Bacteria
Description: SSU rRNA
Rfam family: Bacterial small subunit ribosomal RNA
Source: RNAcentral